RNAcentral lists this ribosomal RNA (253 nucleotides) under uncultured bacterium. Its description in RNAcentral is "partial 16S ribosomal RNA". It matches the Rfam family "Bacterial small subunit ribosomal RNA", at positions 524 to 776 of the family's 1533-position model. The record is from RNAcentral.
UACAGAGGUCCCAAGCGUUGUUCGGAUUCAUUGGGCGUAAAGGGUGCGUAGGUGGCGUGGUAAGUCGGGUGUGAAAUCCCGGGGCUCAACCCCGGGACUGCAUUCGAUACUGCCGUGCUUGAGGACUGGAGAGGAGACUGGAAUUUACGGUGUAGCAGUGAAAUGCGUAGAGAUCGUAAGGAAGACCAGUGGCGAAGGCGGGUCUCUGGACAGUUCCUGACACUGAGGCACGAAGGCCAGGGGAGCAAACAGG